Molecule: ribosomal RNA, 961 nt
Filed under: Neobacillus novalis
Lineage: Bacteria; Bacillati; Bacillota; Bacilli; Caryophanales; Bacillaceae
Description: bacterial SSU rRNA
Rfam family: Bacterial small subunit ribosomal RNA
Source: RNAcentral
UUUGCAUGGCGGCGUGCUAUACAUGCAGUCGAGCGGAUCUUUAGAGAAGCUUUGCUUCUCUCAAAGAUUAGCGGCGGACGGGUGAGUAACACGUGGGCAACCUGCCUGUAAGACUGGGAUAACUCCGGGAAACCGGGGCUAAUACCGGAUAAUUCAUUUCCUCUCAUGAGGGAAUGCUGAAAGACGGUUUCGGCUGUCACUUACAGAUGGGCCCGCGGCGCAUUAGCUAGUUGGUGAGGUAACGGCUCACCAAGGCAACGAUGCGUAGCCGACCUGAGAGGGUGAUCGGCCACACUGGGACUGAGACACGGCCCAGACUCCUACGGGAGGCAGCAGUAGGGAAUCUUCCGCAAUGGACGAAAGUCUGACGGAGCAACGCCGCGUGAGCGAUGAAGGCCUUCGGGUCGUAAAGCUCUGUUGUUAGGGAAGAACAAGUACCGGAGUAACUGCCGGUACCUUGACGGUACCUAACCAGAAAGCCACGGCUAACUACGUGCCAGCAGCCGCGGUAAUACGUAGGUGGCAAGCGUUGUCCGGAAUUAUUGGGCGUAAAGCGCGCGCAGGUGGUUCCUUAAGUCUGAUGUGAAAGCCCACGGCUCAACCGUGGAGGGUCAUUGGAAACUGGGGAACUUGAGUGCAGAAGAGGAAAGUGGAAUUCCACGUGUAGCGGUGAAAUGCGUAGAGAUGUGGAGGAACACCAGUGGCGAAGGCGACUUUCUGGUCUGUAACUGACACUGAGGCGCGAAAGCGUGGGGAGCGAACAGGAUUAGAUACCCUGGUAGUCCACGCCGUAAACGAUGAGUGCUAAGUGUUAGAGGGUUUCCGCCCUUUAGUGCUGCAGCAAACGCAUUAAGCACUCCGCCUGGGGAGUACGGCCGCAAGGCUGAAACUCAAAGGAAUUGACGGGGGCCCGCACAAGCGGUGGAGCAUGUGGUUAAUUCGAAGCAACGCGAAGAACCUU